UUUAUUUAAAUCAUUCUUCUUUUCCAUUUCAUUUACUUCUCCAUUACUAUUAUACAAUCCUUAUUAUUAGUUAUAUUAUUUUUCAAAUUAACUUGUUGGUAUUUGUAUUAAUAGUUUUGUUGAUUCCUGUAUUCUCUAAAUAUUUAGAGAAGUGCUUGUUUAAUUCUGGGCAAACAUUUCACGCUGCUAAAAUAGUUUUUUAGGAUAGUGCCCAGCACGACUCAAGUAUAAUAAAUAUAUAUACACUGAUAUAUUAUACUGUUAAUACUAUCAAAAUAAUAUUUUAUUCACAGCUGUAUAAUAGUAUUAUUUUUCUUUAUUCCCGAACAUCUAUGAACUUGAAUCUGAAACGUGGGGGUUAUUUGGAGUUGUUUAAACUUACUGUGAAGUCAUGAACAAAAAUUGUCAUAGAAACUCCGAUAAGGCGGAGAUUGGAUUCUUCGUUCUUGUAAGUGGUGGUUCAAAUUGAUUGCUAGGUAAUGUUCCUAUGCUUGUAAGAAGCUCAUGAUUCAAAUCUGAGCUGAUUUGGUGAAAGUUAUUGUACCGAUUUUAAAAGUCAUAACUGGGGAAAUGGACAAAGAAAACAACUUGAAAAGCUAAAGACCAUGUUUCGCUUUUGUCUCCCUGAAGCAGUGCAUUGAGCUGAGCUGAACAUUGAAAUCGAAAAUUGGCUGGAUGAAAGUAAUCGUUUAGACAAACUGUCAGCAGCUUGCUCUGUGAAAAGUUUCAUAUCCCUGAACUAAUUCAAAUGUCUCCAUGAUUCAGGUUCGUCUUAGUUUGAAUUCAGGAAUCUCUUCGAGGAAUUGAGUUUGCUUUUCUGAUCUGAGAACUACUGUUUAUCUUUGAUUUAUGGAUUGAUUGGAGAGAUUCAGUAUUGGAGUUGCAUUCUAUAUGAAAUACCAAGCACCUCUGCUGCUGUUGGUCUGUCGACAAACGAAUCAGGUGGUUUUACAUUUUGGAAUGACUCAGUAGGUGCUUAAAUUUGAAAAGUUUCGAAGGUAUUGGGGCUGUGCUAAAAUUUGUUUUGUUUCACUUACAUGUGUGAUUUUGUUCAAACGGUGUUAAAAAUUAUGUAAGGAAUGGAGUAAUUAUCCAGGAGGUGCAUUUCAACAUAUUCCUCUAUGUUAGCUUAACGAGUGAAUGCAACACAUUCCAUCCAAACAAGCUUUAAAUAGGCCAAGAGCUUUUCAACAGACAAAUAUUAAAAGCUUAUAACUAAGAAUUGGUGGGGGUUUCCCUAAAGAGAGACCCUUCCAAAAAUUGGCGUAUGCCACUUGUUGCAACAAGCACACGGUAUUCUUUAGUAAAAGGCGAAAGAAUAAUUCGCUAUGUGCUCAAUGCGUGGCUGCGUGAGUUGGCAAGGUGGCUGGAGCCAACAUUAAAUAUGGGGCAAAGCUGUUUGCUCUGCAGCUUGCAUCCGAUGUGGGAUAAAUUCUACAAUCAAACAAUCAUCAACUGGUUGGUGAGACUAAAACAUUUUCUCAUUUAUUUGCCAUUGAGAAUAGGUGAAGGAAAAAAUGGGUAAGGAGAUUACAACAUUCAGAAUCUAAAUUUCAUCAAUAAAGUAAAAGUUCAAAUAGUUAAUGAACUACUAAAAUUUCCAUAUUAUUCGUCAUUUCCACUACUCAAAUGGCAACAUUUCAACUAACAGUAUGUUUCGGAUGGAAAAAACAAGUGUACUAACACUUGUUAUAAUCUAGUAGGAAGAAUAUUCAUUAUUUUACCUAUAUAUAUGUAUGCUUCUUUGUAUGUUAUAACGUAGAGAGGAAAAAAAAACAAUAACACACACUUUAUUUAAAUCAUUCUUCUUUUCCAUUUCAUUUACUUCUCCAUUACUAUUAUACAAUCCUUAUUAUUAGUUAUAUUAUUUUUCAAAUUAACUUGUUGGUAUUUGUAUUAAUAGUUUUGUUGAUUCCUGUAUUCUCUAAAUAUUUAGAGAAGUGCUUGUUUAAUUCUGGGCAAACAUUUCACGCUGCUAAAAUAGUUUUUUAGGAUAGUGCCCAGCACGACUCAAGUAUAAUAAAUAUAUAUACACUGAUAUAUUAUACUGUUAAUACUAUGAAAAUAAUAUUUUAUUCACAGCUGUAUAAUAGUAUUAUUUUUCUUUAUUCCCGAACAUCUAUGAACUUGAAUCUGAAACGUGGGGGUUAUUUGGAGUUGUUUAAACUUACUGUGAAGUCAUGAACAAAAAUUGUCAUAGAAACUCCGAUAAGGCGGAGAUUGGAUUCUUCGUUCUUGUAAGUGGUGGUUCAAAUUGAUUGCUAGGUAAUGUUCCUAUGCUUGUAAGAAGCUCAUGAUUCAAAUCUGAGCUGAUUUGGUGAAAGUUAUUGUACCGAUUUUAAAAGUCAUAACUGGGGAAAUGGACAAAGAAAACAACUUGAAAAGCUAAAGACCAUGUUUCGCUUUUGUCUCCCUGAAGCAGUGCAUUGAGCUGAGCUGAACAUUGAAAUCGAAAAUUGGCUGGAUGAAAGUAAUCGUUUAGACAAACUGUCAGCAGCUUGCUCUGUGAAAAGUUUCAUAUCCCUGAACUAAUUCAAAUGUCUCCAUGAUUCAGGUUCGUCUUAGUUUGAAUUCAGGAAUCUCUUCGAGGAAUUGAGUUUGCUUUUCUGAUCUGAGAACUACUGUUUAUCUUUGAUUUAUGGAUUGAUUGGAGAGAUUCAGUAUUGGAGUUGCAUUCUAUAUGAAAUACCAAGCACCUCUGCUGCUGUUGGUCUGUCGACAAACGAAUCAGGUGGUUUUACAUUUUGGAAUGACUCAGUAGUUGCUGAAAUUUGAAAAGUUUCGAAGGUAUUGGGGCUGUGCUAAAAUUUGUUUUGUUUCACUUACAUGUGUGAUUUUGUUCAAACGGUGUUAAAAAUUAUGUAAGGAAUGGAGUAAUUAUCCAGGAGGUGCAUUUCAACAUAUUCCUCUAUGUUAGCUUAACGAGUGAAUGCAACACAUUCCAUCCAAACAAGCUUUAAAUAGGCCAAGAGCUUUUCAACAGACAAAUAUUAAAAGCUUAUAACUAAGAAUUGGUGGGGGUUUCCCUAAAGAGAGACCCUUCCAAAAAUUGGCGUAUGCCACUUGUUGCAACAAGCACACGGUAUUCUUUAGUAAAAGGCGAAAGAAUAAUUCGCUAUGUGCUCAAUGCGUGGCUGCGUGAGUUGGCAAGGUGGCUGGAGCCAACAUUAAAUAUGGGGCAAAGCUGUUUGCUCUGCAGCUUGCAUCCGAUGUGGGAUAAAUUCUACAAUCAAACAAUCAUCAACUGGUUGGUGAGACUAAAACAUUUUCUCAUUUAUUUGCCAUUGAGAAUAGGUGAAGGAAAAAAUGGGUAAGGAGAUUACAACAUUCAGAAUCUAAAUUUCAUCAAUAAAGUAAAAGUUCAAAUAGUUAAUGAACUACUAAAAUUUCCAUAUUAUUCGUCAUUUCCACUACUCAAAUGGCAACAUUUCAACUAACAGUAUGUUUCGGAUGGGUUUACCCAUCAUAUUGUGUUGUCUUGUUACCAUCAAUAUCAUAUUUGUUUUAAUUGUUA
RNAcentral lists this long non-coding RNA (3514 nucleotides) under Capsicum annuum. Its description in RNAcentral is "long non-coding RNA (CANN_LNC019757)". Lineage: Eukaryota; Viridiplantae; Streptophyta; Magnoliopsida; Solanales; Solanaceae. The record is from RNAcentral.